UACGUAGGGUGCAAGCGUUAAUCGGAAUUACUGGGCGUAAAGCGUGCGCAGGCGGUUAUGUAAGACAGGUGUGAAAUCCCCGGGCUUAACCUGGGAACUGCAUUUGUGACUGCAUAGCUAGAGUACGGUAGAGGGGGAUGGAAUUCCGCGUGUAGCAGUGAAAUGCGUAGAUAUGUGGAGGAACACCGAUGGCGAAGGCAGCCCCCUGGGUUAACACUGACGCUCAUGCACGAAAGCGUGGGGAGCAAACAGG
This 253-nucleotide ribosomal RNA is filed under the name uncultured bacterium. RNAcentral describes it as "partial 16S ribosomal RNA". It matches the Rfam family "Bacterial small subunit ribosomal RNA", at positions 524 to 776 of the family's 1533-position model. The record is from RNAcentral.